RNAcentral lists this long non-coding RNA (386 nucleotides) under Junco hyemalis (dark-eyed junco). RNAcentral's name for it is "lncRNA (ENSJHYG00000012846.1)". Lineage: Eukaryota; Metazoa; Chordata; Aves; Passeriformes; Passerellidae. The record is from RNAcentral.
AACAUGCUCAGAUUCUGAAAACAGUGAAAAGAAAUAUAUUGCAAUUUUUUCCCCCCAGGUUGAACACCCACAGUUCCCUCAAUUGCUUCUCAUAAGACUUGUGCUCCAAACCCUUCUCCAGCUUCAUUGUCCUUCUCUGGUUUGGAAUGAUCAGCAAGCUGAAAGGCACACCAGGGCUUGUCUCACCACCAGACUAGGUGACAGGUGUCUGCAGAAGGAGUUUCAAGCCUGAAAGGUUUUCAAGAUCCCUGAAAUAUCAAACUGUUGCCCCUGUCAAAUGGGCUCCUGAGGAGUGAAGGCUUUUCAUUUUUCAUCCUAAAUCUAGAAGGAAUUAUUCAAUUUUAUAACCAGGUUUCCUCUGGCUGCUACUGAUGAUAGAAAUAAAA